This 492-nucleotide ribosomal RNA is filed under the name uncultured bacterium. Its description in RNAcentral is "partial 16S ribosomal RNA". It matches the Rfam family "Bacterial small subunit ribosomal RNA", at positions 29 to 507 of the family's 1533-position model. The record is from RNAcentral.
AGUGAACGCUGGCGGUAGGCCUAACACAUGCAAGUCGAACGGCAGCACAGUAAGAGCUUGCUGUUACGGGUGGCGGGUGGCGGACGGGUGAGGAAAACAUCGGGAUCUAGUUUUUCGGGUGGGUUAAGGUAGGUAAACUUACUCUAGUACCGCAGACGCCGUUCGGUGGAGAGCAGUGGAUCGUCUCACCGGGUGGGGAUGGAUUAGCCGCUGUCGGACUAGCUAGUUGGGGGGGUAAAGGCCCAGCAAGUCGACGGUCCGCGGCUGGGCUGGGAGGAUGAUCAGCCACAUUGGAACUGAGACACGCUCCAGACUCCUACGGGAGGCCGCAGUGUGGAAUAUUGGACAAUGGGCGCAAGCCUGAUCCAGCCAUACCGCGUGGGUGAAGAAGGCCUUCGGGUUGUAAAGCCCUUUUGUUGGGAAAGAAAAGCAGCAGGUUAAUACCCCGCUGUUCUGACGGUACCCAAAGAAUAAGCACCGGCUAACUUCGUG